Callithrix jacchus (white-tufted-ear marmoset) is the source of this 3229-nucleotide RNA transcript. It is a transcript of the gene named tyrosyl-tRNA synthetase 2, with no coding region annotated. The record is from RefSeq and is a predicted model, not a curated record. NCBI's taxonomy places the organism in Eukaryota, Metazoa, Chordata, Mammalia, Primates, Cebidae.
CAUGUACUUUAUUGGACUUUUUCUUGCUAUAGCUUGUACAAGACUGCCACCUCCUGGAAAAGCUAAUGAAUAUUGAAGACUGAGGUGCAAUUAGAGAAUCAGUACUAUGAAAUUGCUUGCGUCUCAGCAGCAACUCCUUAACUGUCCUGAAGUUAAACCAAUUCGUAACCUUUCUCAACAUCUGUGAGCAGCUUUUUGCAUGAAACCAGGAUUUCAAACAACUUGCGCACCACAAUCUUUUUAAGUGAAAAUUCAAAUACAAGUUAACAUUGGCGGAACGUUAGGUGCCAAAGGCUUUAAUUCUUAAGUCUCACAACAGCCUUAUGAGGUAGGAACUAUUAUAAGCAGAUCCUCACUGCGGAUGAAGAAAUUAAGCUUUAAGGAACUUAGCGCGACGGACCUGAGAUGGAAUCGCCACCUGGAGCCCGAACUCUGUUGCUGAGAGCGCAAGCUCGGUAACUACGUAACCGCCUCGGGCAUGCGCAGAAAAACAUUGAAACGCCUUCCCUGGGAGCUGUUAGCAUGUGGGUGUGACGGGGGCCUCUACAAUCCCAGCAUUCCUUUCGUGCCGCCACCAAGAUGGCGGCGCCCAUCUUUCGGUGCUUUUCCUGGUUCCGGUGGUCUGGUACCCUAAAUCUCUCAGGAUUCUUGCCCCUGGGGCUACGUAAGGCCCACUCGGGCGCUGAUGGGUUACUGGCAGCGCAGAAGGCUCGGGGUCUGUUCAAGGACUUCUUCCCAGAGAGGGGGACGAAAAUAGAGCUCCCAGAGCUCUUCAACCGUGGCACGGCGAGUUUUCCCCAAACCAUUUACUGUGGUUUCGACCCCACGGCCGACUCGCUUCAUGUGGGUCAUCUGCUAGCGCUGCUGGGCCUGUUUCAUUUACAGCGAGCGGGCCACAACGUGAUCGCGCUGGUGGGAGGCGCCACGGCGCGCCUGGGAGACCCGAGCGGCCGGACCAAGGAGCGCGAAGCGCUGGAGAAAGAGAGCGUGCAAGCCAACGCGCGCGCCCUGCGCUUAGAGCUUGAGGCCCUAGCGGCAAAUCACCAGCAGCUUUUCUCUGAUGGGCGCCCCUGGGGCAGCUUCACCGUGCUGGACAACUCGGCCUGGUACCAGAAGCAGCACCUGGUGGACUUCCUGGCGGCAGUGGGGGGUCACUUCCGCAUGGGGACGCUGCUGAGCCGGCAGAGCGUGCAGAUGCGGCUCAAGAGCCCCGAGGGCAUGAGCUUGGCCGAGUUCUUUUACCAGGUGCUCCAGGCCUAUGACUUCUAUUACCUCUUCCAGCGUUAUGGAUGCAGGGUCCAGCUGGGCGGAUCUGAUCAGCUGGGCAACAUCAUGUCUGGAUAUGAGUUCAUCCACAAGUUGACUGGAGAAGAUGUAUUUGGAAUCACUGUUCCUCUAAUUACAAGUACAACUGGAGCAAAGCUGGGAAAGUCUGCUGGCAACGCUGUUUGGCUAAACAGAGAUAAGACAUCUCCAUUUGAAUUGUAUCAAUUCUUUGUCAGACAGCCAGACGAUUCAGUGGAAAGGUACCUGAAGCUGUUCACUUUUCUGCCCCUUCCAGAAAUUGAUCAUAUCAUGCACCUGCAUGUCAAAGAGCCAGAACGGCGGGGUCCUCAGAAACGACUGGCAGCAGAAGUAACAAAGCUUGUUCAUGGACGAGAAGGACUGGACUCUGCUAAAAGGUGUACACAAGCCCUUUAUCACAGUAGCAUAGAUGCACUGGAGGACAUGUCUGAUCAAGAGUUAAAAGAGCUGUUUAAAGAAGCUCCAUUUUCUGAAUUAGUUCUGGAUCCUGGAACAAGUGUUCUAGAUACCUGCCGCAAAGCAAAUGCCAUUCCAGAUGGUCCCCGAGGGUAUCGAAUGAUAACAGAAGGCGGAGUCAGCAUAAAUCACCAACAAGUAACAAAUCCUGAGAGCGUUUUAAUUGUUGGACAACAUAUUCUCAAGAAUGGACUUUCCUUACUUAAAAUAGGAAAAAGAAAUUUCUACAUUAUAAAAUGGCUUCAGUUAUGAUGAAAAAUCCUUCUGGUUAUUCAAAUACUUACCCAUCAUUUAUUCUCAAGACCUCUGAAGGGCUGGCUCCAGAACUUAGAUCUUUGCUUGUGGAAAUCAGAAAAACUGAAUGGAGUAUACACUAGGACUCAGUUUCGUGAGAGUGGAGAUCUGGAUGAUGAUGCUGAAGCUAUCCUUGCUGCAGUCUUUGAAAUUGGUCACUUUUUACAUGAGCGUAUAAUCCCAAGAUCAGUGUUAUACUUUACUAGAGAAGCUACUGAAGAUGAUGAUGAUGAUGAUGACGACGACGAUGAAGGUGAAAAAGCAGAUGAGAAAGGGGAAGAAGGAGAUGAAGAAAAUGAUCCAGACUCUGACCCGAAGAAGGAUCAAAAUGCAGCAGAGUGCAAACAGCAGUGAAGCAAGAAGUGUGCGGCCUUGAGGAUAACCUGCACUGUACUAGCCAAAACACAACUCUUAUUUACUUACAGCCUUUUGUAUUUUCUUGGUAGAUGAGGUAAUUUUAUUUUAAAGACAGGAAACUGAUAUUUUAAAGACCAAUUUGUUCUAAUUAGCAUUUUAACUAGUUUUUCUGCCAAAUAUGUUGAAUGCACAAAUUCUGUAACACAUGUUCAUUCAUCCCUGCAUAAUUUGGUUCUUCUGGAAUAUUUUUAUGUAGCUCUUAGAGUACAGCUAUGAAAAUGUCAAGUGUUAAAGGAAACCUUUUUUUUUUUUUUCUUCAUAAUUUUUUCCCUGAAGAACCAAAGUAUUUUUUCAGCUGGUUGUUGAAUACGAUUAAAUCCACUUGGAUUAGCUGUGCCUUUCAUUACUCUGUUACAGAAACACAGUGACUUAUAUAAGACAAUUCAUCGUUUUAAAAGAACUGGUAAGAUAACUAUAUGGUUAAGAAUUUCCAGUAUGAACACACCCAGUAACUGUAUUAGAUUGUUAAUGGAUUACUGUGUUAUAAGUGACAUAGUUAACUGUAAAGUAACCUGACUCAGUAUAGUUACUGGUACCACAGUGAGGUGAAUGAAACAGGAUUUUCAGAAGUUAGCCUGAAUUAAACUGUACUUUUAAAUUUCACCUCCAUUAACUAAGCAUCUUUUCUUUGUGGCAAUGUCUACCUUCUGCUUUCCCGGAAAGGAAGAAUUUAUAUCAUCUGACAAGCCUAUUUUCAAGUUAUUCAUUGUUUGCUUGUUUUUGGUUUUGCAGCCUAAAAUAAAAAUUUCAAAUACAA